GAAGACAAAUGGCUUGUCCUGAUCGGAUGUUUGGAAAGGCGCCAAAUAGAGUUCCUCCAGAUUUGGGUACCCAGCUAGAAGUUGCCCCAAGUCUUGAUUAAACUCCAUAUCAUUGUUGUGCAGCGCCAAGCACCGCAUGGACUGCCCAGCUAACUCUUUAGAGAUCCCUGGCGCAUCAUAUUUUUCUUCUCAUUCUUGUACAUGACUUGGGCAGCCACUUCUUUGCACAAGGCCACAGUUUCCCCAAAAGCGGGCAAGAGGUGAACAGAGUGCCACACCUGAAGGUCUUUCGUGAUUUUCUAUCAAGGUAGAGGUGUAGUUGUCGGUCUGCAGCAGCUGAAGGCCAUUUGGUGGGCCGGCUACUAGAUCAGCCAAGAAGUCCUCGCUG
This 388-nucleotide long non-coding RNA is filed under the name Coccomyxa subellipsoidea. RNAcentral describes it as "long non-coding RNA (CSUB_LNC000395)". The record is from RNAcentral. Lineage: Eukaryota; Viridiplantae; Chlorophyta; Trebouxiophyceae; Coccomyxaceae.